AGCAGCCGCGGUAAUUCCAGCUCCAAUAGCGUAUAUUAAAGUUGUUGCAGUUAAAAAGCUCGUAGUUGAAUUUCGGGAUCAAUAUGUUGGUCGUGCCUUGGUACGUACUGGCAUUAUCGAUUCCUACCUUCUGAAGAACCUCGAUGUCAUUAAUUUGGUGUCUUGGGGAAUCAGGACUGUUACUUUGAAAAAAUUAGAGUGUUUAAAGCAGGCUCGCGCUUGAAUACAUUAGCAUGGAAUAAUGAAAUAGGACGUUUGAUUCUAUUUUGUUGGUUUCUAGGAUUGACGUAAUGAUUAAUAGGGAUAGUUGGGGGCAUUAGUAUUCAAUUGUCAGAGGUGAAAUUCUUGGAUUUAUUGAAGACUAACUACUGCGAAAGCAUUUGCCAAGGAUGUUUUCAUUAAUCAAGAACGAAAGUUAGGGGAUCGAAGACGAUCAGAUACCGUCGUAGUCUUAACCAUAAACUAUGCCGACUAGGGAUCGGAUGAUGUUAAUUUUUUAAUGACUCAUUCGGCGCCUUAC
This 520-nucleotide ribosomal RNA is filed under the name uncultured Glomus. RNAcentral describes it as "SSU rRNA". It matches the Rfam family "Eukaryotic small subunit ribosomal RNA", at positions 569 to 1091 of the family's 1831-position model. Lineage: Eukaryota; Fungi; Glomeromycota; Glomeromycetes; Glomerales; Glomeraceae. The record is from RNAcentral.